CUGUCAGAGCUGCUUCCAGAUCCUAGCUCACAGAGGAUCACGCUAGCCAGCGAUCAUUAAACAAAAGUCUUUAUUGAGUUACAGUUUCCAUUCUCAAACUGCUGCGUGCAACUCUACGUCUCAUGGUUAGACCGGCGAAGCUCCGUCUGAGUCUCCGCCCCUUGUACACCAACUUAAUAUCCUAGCCCUGCUCCACCUUUUCCGCCUGACUGUUCUUCUCUGGGUCCCUCUGCCCCCUGGGGUCUCUUCUUUCCGGGAUUCCUCUGACGCUGACGCUGACCCCCCUGACUCUUCUCCCUCCUUUCGGCGGGCUUUAGGACCUGGCUCCCUUUCCGGGCUGCCUACUGUGCCACCUUCCUGUGCAUUUGAACUUGGCGCGCGCGCCCAACCUUCCACCUUCCGUCUGACCGUUUCUUCGCUCCCCGAUGGAGGUGUGGCCACUCCUGACUCGUGCCCUCCCCCCUGUUGUGAGCUGCCAGCGCUUGAUCCCUGGCUCCCUUCCUCUUCCCUGCUCUCUGGCGGUGACGCUGGUCCCGAUUUCCAACUGCUCCCCUCUGAGUCCCCUCUGGCUCUAUCUUCCUGGGGCGUCCCCCUAGGCUCCCCCCUUGCCCUGGCCACUGGUGCUCCUUUCUGUGAAUCUUCUGAUUCACUGGAAAGACUCGGAGAUCUCGGGUCGUCGUCAUCACUCAUCUUUUCUUCUGCCUCCUCCCCCUCGCUCUCUGUUUCCUCCCUUGCCCUUGCCUCUGCUCCUGAACCCCUGACACA
Podarcis lilfordi (Lilford's wall lizard) is the source of this 765-nucleotide non-coding RNA. The record is from the annotation of a GenBank genome assembly. NCBI's taxonomy places the organism in Eukaryota, Metazoa, Chordata, Lepidosauria, Squamata, Lacertidae.